RNAcentral lists this ribosomal RNA (715 nucleotides) under Inocybe tjallingiorum. Its description in RNAcentral is "eukaryotic LSU rRNA". The stretch from base 298 to 451 matches the Rfam family "5.8S ribosomal RNA". The record is from RNAcentral. Lineage: Eukaryota; Fungi; Basidiomycota; Agaricomycetes; Agaricales; Inocybaceae.
AAGUCGUAACAAGGUUUCCGUAGGUGAACCUGCGGAAGGAUCAUUAUUGAAUAAACUUGCACAGGCUGUUGCUGGCCCUCAAGGGUAUGUGCACGCUUGUCAUCUUUAUCUCUCCAACUGUGCACAUAUUGUAGACCUAGAGUCCCUGUUGAUUCAUUUCGAGUUGGGACUGCUGUGCUUUGUACUUCAGAGUCAGCUUUGCCUUUUUCAUACCCAGGUCUAUGUCAUUUUCACAACCUCUUGAAUGUGUUUAGAAUGUUGAAUCAGGUCUUUUUGUACCUAUAAAGUUAAAUAUACAACUUUCAGCAACGGAUCUCUUGGCUCUCGCAUCGAUGAAGAACGCAGCGAAAUGCGAUAAGUAAUGUGAAUUGCAGAAUUCAGUGAAUCAUCGAAUCUUUGAACGCAUCUUGCGCUCCUUGGUACUCCGAGGAGCAUGCCUGUUUGAGUGUCAUUUAAAUUCUCAACCACAUCAAUUUAUUUGGUGAGGCUUGGAUGUGGGGGUCUUUUUGCGGGCUUCUGUAAAUUUGAAGUCGGCUCCCCUAAAAUGCAUUAGUGGUAUCUGAGCAGAAGAAACUACUACAGGUGUGAUAAUUAUCUACGCCUCAGUAUCCUGCACAAUCAGAUUGUGCUGCUUCUAACGAGUGGAGAUUCCUUUUGGGGGACCACAUUUGUUGAAUUUGACCUCAAAUCAGGUAGGACUACCCGCUGAACUUAA